GAUGAAUAACGUAGCGAAAUGCGAUACUUGGUGUGAAUUGCAGAAUCCCGUGAACCAUCGAGUCUUUGAACGCAAGUUGCGCCCGAAGCCAUUAGGCCGAGGGCACGCCUGCCUGGGCGUCACACGUCGUUGCCCCCCCAUCUACUCCUUCGGGAUUGCGGGGGGCGGAUGAUGGCCUCCCGUGCGCCACGCCGCGCGGUUGGCAUAAAUGCCAAGUCCUCGGCGACGCACGCCACGACAAUCGGUGGUUGCGAAACCUCGGUUGCCCGUCGUGUGCGGUCGUCGCGCAUCGAGGGCUCGAAAAAAUUGCCGGGUUCCGGCUCGGCUUUCAACGCGACCCCAGGUCAGGCGGGGUUACCCGCUGAAUUUAAGCAUAUCAAUAAGCGGAGGA
Molecule: unclassified non-coding RNA, 391 nt
Filed under: soil metagenome
Description: partial contains 5.8S ribosomal RNA, internal transcribed spacer 2, and large subunit ribosomal RNA
Rfam family: 5.8S ribosomal RNA (bases 1-122)
Source: RNAcentral